This 104-nucleotide small nuclear RNA is filed under the name Ursus americanus (American black bear). The record is from RNAcentral. Lineage: Eukaryota; Metazoa; Chordata; Mammalia; Carnivora; Ursidae.
GUGCUUGCUUUGGCAGCACAUAUACUAACAUUGGAAAAAUACAGAGAUUAACAUAGCCCCUGUGCAAGGAUGACACACAAAUUUGUGAAGCGUUCCAUAUUUUU